GUGCUAUGGUGGGAGGCACCAAUACGGGAGGCACUAUGUGGAGAGGUUCCUGACCUGGCGGCAUGUCUUAGAGCCUGCCGUGACAACUCAGCUUCUUCCAACUUACGAAGAAGACAGGUCCAGUUGAUGUCUGAGGACAGGCGGAUGUGGGUACCCUUCACCUUCUUGAAGCCUAGAAAGAUGUCCAUGAGAACCUCAGUGAUAGGAAAGGAGAUGAAGCCAAGUUGCUUACUGAGGCUUUCCUCAAACUUUUAGUGAGUUCCUCAAACCAGGGGUUAGAGACGUAGGACAAGCUGGAAACAGACGAGAUGGAGGGCAGAGGUUUCUUCUUCGAAAACUUGGUGUUGGGGCUCUGUGCAACAGCCAAGGAAAGAAAAGGAGAUGUUUAACCCUUGUCAUCCCCCUACUGCCCUGUGACAUCAUAUUGCUACACCCACCUUGGCCAUUGUGCCAGUCUUCCCCCGUUACAGUCAGGGAAGCCAAGCUCAUCACACCAGGAUACAGGCCUGCCACAUCUGCCUACUGUAACGCUCAGCCCAUGCCACAUCUGCCUACUGUAAUGUUCAGCUUUACCUGUCAGGUCUAGAGCAAACCCAGCAGCCUGAGCAGGCUGUGCGCGUGCAAGCUUGCACACAGCUUGUGUUCAGGAAUUACACUGGAGCCCUGAUGAUGGUAGGUUGAGAUGUCCAGAGACCUUCAAGGUCAGGCCAUCUAUGUCUUCAUACACACUUUUUGACCAAGGUCCCCUUCAUGGAGCAGAAAGUCUAGAGAGUCCUAAAGCUAGAUUAG
RNAcentral lists this long non-coding RNA (789 nucleotides) under Mus pahari (shrew mouse). RNAcentral describes it as "lncRNA (MGP_PahariEiJ_G0002383.1)". Lineage: Eukaryota; Metazoa; Chordata; Mammalia; Rodentia; Muridae. The record is from RNAcentral.